GUGCCAGCCGCCGCGGUAACACGGGGGGAGCAAGCGUUGUUCGGAAUCACUGGGCGUAAAGGGCGUGUAGGCGGUCAGGUAAGUGGGAUGUGAAAUGCUUCGGCUCACCCGGAGCCCUGCAUCCCAAACUGUCUGGCUUGAGUAUGGGAGAGGAUGAGGGAAUUCCUGGUGUAGCGGUGAAAUGCGUAGAUAUCAGGAGGAACACCGGUGGCGAAAGCGCUCAUCUGGCCCAAUACUGACGCUGAUGCGCGAAAGCUAGGGGAGCAAACGGGAUUAGAUACCCGCGUAGUCC
RNAcentral lists this ribosomal RNA (292 nucleotides) under uncultured bacterium. Its description in RNAcentral is "partial 16S ribosomal RNA". It matches the Rfam family "Bacterial small subunit ribosomal RNA", at positions 505 to 796 of the family's 1533-position model. The record is from RNAcentral.